This 253-nucleotide ribosomal RNA is filed under the name uncultured bacterium. RNAcentral describes it as "partial 16S ribosomal RNA". It matches the Rfam family "Bacterial small subunit ribosomal RNA", at positions 524 to 776 of the family's 1533-position model. The record is from RNAcentral.
UACGUAGGGUCCGAGCGUUGUCCGGAAUUAUUGGGCGUAAAGAGCUCGUAGGCGGUUUGUCGCGUCUGCUGUGAAAUCCCGAGGCUCAACCUCGGGCCUGCAGUGGGUACGGGCAGACUGGAGUGCGGUAGGGGAGAAUGGAAUUCCUGGUGUAGCGGUGGAAUGCGCAGAUAUCAGGAGGAACACCCGCAGCGAAGGCGGCACUCUGGGCCGGUACUGACGCUGAGGAGCGAAAGCGUGGGGAGCAAACAGG